RNAcentral lists this ribosomal RNA (512 nucleotides) under uncultured microorganism. RNAcentral's name for it is "bacterial SSU rRNA". It matches the Rfam family "Bacterial small subunit ribosomal RNA", at positions 9 to 524 of the family's 1533-position model. The record is from RNAcentral.
GAGUUUGAUCGUGGCUCAGGACGAACGCUGGCGGCGUGCUUAACACAUGCAAGUCGAACGAGAAUCUACUGAAAGAGUUUUCGGACAAUGGAAGUAGAGGAAAGUGGCGGACGGGUGAGUAACGCGUGAGGAACCUGCCUUGAAGAGGGGACAACAGUUGGAACGACUGCUAAUACCGCAUGAUGCAUAAGGGUCGCAUGAUUCUUAUGCCAAAGAUUUAUCGCUUCAAGAUGGCCUCGCGUCUGAUUAGCUAGUUGGCGGGGUAACGGCCCACCAAGGCGACGAUCAGUAGCCGGACUGAGAGGUUGAACGGCCACAUUGGGACUGAGAUACGGCCCAGACUCCUACGGGAGGCAGCAGUGGGGAAGUAUUGGGCAAUGGGCGCAAGCCUGACCCAGCAACGCCGCGUGAAGGAAGAAGGCUUUCGGUAUGUAAACUUCUAUCAGCAGGGAAGAAAAUGACGGUACCUGACUAAGAAGCCCGGCUAACUACGUGCCAGCCGCCGCCGUAAC